RNAcentral lists this non-coding RNA (396 nucleotides) under Cariama cristata (Red-legged seriema). RNAcentral describes it as "Eukaryotic small subunit ribosomal RNA". It matches the Rfam family "Eukaryotic small subunit ribosomal RNA", at positions 631 to 980 of the family's 1831-position model. The record is from Rfam by way of RNAcentral. Lineage: Eukaryota; Metazoa; Chordata; Aves; Cariamiformes; Cariamidae.
UAGUUAGAACAAGGUCAGUCAGAGAAACUGUAAGAAAACACUGUUGUCCAAACUGUCCUUUCCGCUGGAAUAGCCUCCACUGAAGAUAGUACUACUUACUACUACCACCUAAAAAAAAAACCAACGAAGCCCAGUGCUUUAGAGUGCACUCAUUGAGAAGUUUGAUACAUUUUUCUGAAGAAAUCGAAGUGUUCAAAUCUGGCUGGCCGACAGUGUGCUUCAGCCAGGAAUAACAGAAUAGAACUCUGGCUCUUUUUUUGUUGUUUUUUGGAAGCAGGGCCAUGAUUAAGAGCAAUGGCUGGGGGCAUUCAUAUUGUGCCACUUGAACUGGAGUUCUUGAACCAGUGAAAGAUGAACUAAAGCAAAAGUAUAUGCCAAGAAUGUUUCAUUAAUCAA